RNAcentral lists this small RNA (72 nucleotides) under Phyllobacterium sp. YR531. RNAcentral's name for it is "Makes More Granules Regulator RNA (mmgR)". It matches the Rfam family "Makes More Granules Regulator RNA (mmgR)". Rfam says of the family: SuhB later renamed mmgR (makes more granules regulator) was a putative non-coding RNA found multiple times in the Agrobacterium tumefaciens genome and related alpha-proteobacteria. Other non-coding RNAs uncovered in the same analysis include: speF, ybhL, metA, and serC. The record is from Rfam by way of RNAcentral. Lineage: Bacteria; Pseudomonadati; Pseudomonadota; Alphaproteobacteria; Hyphomicrobiales; Phyllobacteriaceae.
UGUCUAUGCCCUCCUUGGGCGUUUCCUCCCUAGACUUGGACCGCGCUCACGCGCGGUCUUUUUUUGUCAUGC